Molecule: long non-coding RNA, 1177 nt
Filed under: Manihot esculenta (cassava)
Lineage: Eukaryota; Viridiplantae; Streptophyta; Magnoliopsida; Malpighiales; Euphorbiaceae
Description: long non-coding RNA (MESC_LNC012669)
Source: RNAcentral
UUUUUUUUAAAUAUAAGAAAGUUUCAUUAGAAAAGUGUUAAAACCCAUUACAUCUAAGUUCAAAAAUAAACAAACUAAAACAUACAUACCUAUGAAAAAAACCUAACCAAGACCAAGCCCAACCCUCCUUAAUAAAAGGUUCAAAGCCCAAACAAACAAGUCUUGAAAGAGAUAACCCUAAGAAGCCAGUUAAUCCGAAAAGGGGGAAGUAUCCGACAAGCCCACAUCUUGUGCGCCACUCGAGAAACUUCGUCAACGCUGCAGCAGCCUAGAGAAACCAUUAUGGAUGACCAAAAACUAUUCUCCAACAACCUCAAACUACCAAAAGAAGUGACUUUAAGAGAACUAGAGGGAUAGCAACCAAACACUUAUGGCACAUAUGAUGGCAAGAUCAUAUCAAAAGCAUCAACAAAAGCACAACACAGGAUCUCGAUCUCAACACCUUAACGAACUUCGACAAGGACAAGACAGAAGCAGAGUUCAGAGAUUGGAGCAACCCACCAGAAGGGCAUUGUAAACCUUACUGAGCUAACCAUCCGAGGUGCAUCCCUGGAAUAAAAGCAUCUCUGACCUCCCGAAGCAAGGAUAGCGCUGAGAAAUCAGAUCUGGGACCAUAGAGGCAGAUGAACCUGCAUGCAAGACCAACUAAACAUCCAAGACAAGAAAAAGAACACAAGAAUUGCAGAUCUAUAGAUCUCUUGCCCAUUCACUGCCAGAUCUGCUAUUCCCAAACCAAGAAAAGCAAGAAAUAAAAACAACCGCUGAGAAGUGGGGAGGAUACCCACACUCUGGGCGAUGAGGAAGAAGCUACCGCUUCCUGGGCUGUAGGGGAGGAGACUAAGUUCCGAAAACCAGAAAAGAUUCAGUGGAAAAAUCCCUCCCUAGAAACUAGAGGGCGGAGAAAAAUAUUUAAGCUUAUGGUUUGUUGAAAGCAAGAUGAUCCUCUCUUUAUUUGCAUAUCUACGGGACUUGAACAUGCACACAACUAACUAUCAAUACUUUUUGUAGCCAAGAUUUACUAAAUACCCUUAUUUGUUUUCAUCAUCACUUUUUUUAUAUACUUUUUUUUUUCAGUAACGGAUAUAGAAUUUCAAAAUAGGCUAUACUUGGCAAUGUCUAUGUAUUUUUGUUCGUAUUGAUGAACAAUUUUGCUUUAUUUUUUUGCAUUUAAGUGGUA